Molecule: long non-coding RNA, 231 nt
Filed under: Elaeis guineensis (African oil palm)
Lineage: Eukaryota; Viridiplantae; Streptophyta; Magnoliopsida; Arecales; Arecaceae
Description: long non-coding RNA (EGUI_LNC069663)
Source: RNAcentral
GAGCACCCCAUCGCUAACUAUUUAAAGAGGGCUGCGUCGGGGAUUUGUUUCAUUCAGAUUUUUAAUUCCUUCUUUUCUUUCUUACACACUCUUCCUAUUGUCCAUUUAGUCUCUUCCAUCUCUUAUUAGAAUAAGUCCAAAAAUAGUAAAGACAAGUCUGGUUUUAGGACAAGAGCCUAGGAAGAGAAUUAAGAAAGAUAAGGAGAGAAGAAAGGUAGAGAUAAGAAGGCU